GUUGCCUCUGGUGUCGUCAGGAUGCUUCACAGUUUUGUAAACUGCGGGUCGUGGGUUCAAAUCCCACAGCCGGCUCCA
This 78-nucleotide transfer RNA is filed under the name Methylacidimicrobium tartarophylax. RNAcentral's name for it is "tRNA-Thr". Lineage: Bacteria; Pseudomonadati; Verrucomicrobiota. The record is from RNAcentral.